RNAcentral lists this ribosomal RNA (368 nucleotides) under uncultured organism. RNAcentral describes it as "bacterial LSU rRNA". It matches the Rfam family "Bacterial large subunit ribosomal RNA", at positions 2099 to 2465 of the family's 2925-position model. The record is from RNAcentral.
CUUUACUGCAGCUUUGCAUUGGACUUUGACGGGACUUGUGUAGGAUAGGUGGGAGGCGUUGAGACGUGGUCGCCAGAUCGCGUGGAGCCAACCUUGAAAUACCACCCUGGUGUCGUUGAGGUUCUAACCUUGGUCCGUGAAUCCGGAUCGGGGACCGUGCAUGGCAGGCAGUUUGACUGGGGCGGUCUCCUCCCAAAGCGUAACGGAGGAGUACGAAGGUCUUCUAAGUACGGUCGGACAUCGUGCUUAUAGUGCAAUGGCAAAAGAGGGCUUGACUGCGAGACCCACACGUCGAGCAGGUGCGAAAGCAGGUCAUAGUGAUCCGGUGGUUCUGUAUGGAAGGGCCAUCGCUCAACGGAUAAAAGGUA